Molecule: ribosomal RNA, 484 nt
Filed under: uncultured bacterium
Lineage: Bacteria
Description: partial 16S ribosomal RNA
Rfam family: Bacterial small subunit ribosomal RNA
Source: RNAcentral
AUUGAACGCUGGCGGCAGGCCUAACACAUGCAAGUCGAGCGGAUGAAGGGAGCUUGCUCCUGGAUUCAGCGGCGGACGGGUGAGUAAUGCCUAGGAAUCUGCCUGGUAGUGGGGGAUAACGUCCGGAAACGGGCGCUAAUACCGCAUACGUCCUGAGGGAGAAAGUGGGGGAUCUUCGGACCUCACGCUAUCAGAUGAACCUAGGUCGGAUUAGCUAGUUGGUGGGGUAAAGGCCUACCAAGGCGACGAUCCGUAACUGGUCUGAGAGGAUGAUCAGUCACACUGGAACUGAGACACGGUCCAGACUCCUACGGGAGGCAGCAGUGGGGAAUAUUGGACAAUGGGCGAAAGCCUGAUCCAGCCAUGCCGCGUGUGUGAAGAAGGUCUUCGGAUUGUAAAGCACUUUAAGUUGGGAGGAAGGGCAGUAAGUUAAUAUCUUGCUGUUUUGACGUUACCAACAGAAUAAGCACCGGCUAACUUCGUG